AACGAACGCUGGCGGCAUGCCUAACACAUGCAAGUCGAACGGGAUCCUAGCUUGCUAGGUGAGAGUGGCGGACGGGUGAGUAACACGUGGGAAUCUGCCUUUUGGUUCGGAUAACCGCGGGAAACUGCGGCUAAUACCGAAUGCCCUCGAGAGAGGAAAGAUUUAUCGCCAGAAGAGGAGCCCGCGUCCGAUUAGGUAGUUGGUGGGGUAAAAGCCUACCAAGCCGACGAUCGGUAGCUGGUCUGAGAGGAUGAUCAGCCACACUGGGACUGAGAUACGGCCCAGACUCCUACGGGAGGCAGCAGUGGGGAAUAUUGGACAAUGGGGCAACCCUGAUCCAGCAAUG
This 346-nucleotide ribosomal RNA is filed under the name uncultured bacterium. RNAcentral describes it as "bacterial SSU rRNA". It matches the Rfam family "Bacterial small subunit ribosomal RNA", at positions 29 to 396 of the family's 1533-position model. The record is from RNAcentral.